RNAcentral lists this ribosomal RNA (381 nucleotides) under uncultured eukaryote. RNAcentral describes it as "partial 18S ribosomal RNA". It matches the Rfam family "Eukaryotic small subunit ribosomal RNA", at positions 592 to 976 of the family's 1831-position model. The record is from RNAcentral.
CAAUAGCGUAUAUUAAGGCUGUUGCGGUUAAAAAGCUCGUAGUUGGAUUUCUGUCAAGGACAACUGGUCCGCCCUUCGGGUGAGCACAUAGUUUGGUCUUGGCAUCUUGUUGGAAACUGUUGCUGCACUUGGUUGUGUGGCGCAGCGUCCAGCACUUUCACUUUGAGGAAAUUGGAGUGUUUCAAGCAGGCACAUGCCUUUGGACACAGUAGCAUGGAAUAAUUAGAUUGGGCUUUUGCUCCAACUUGUCGGUUUCUGGAGCUGAGGUGAGAAUUAAUGGGGAUUGUUGGGGGCAUCCGAAUUUAGCCGUCAGAGGUGAAAUUCUUGGAUCUGCUAAAGACGGACAACUGCGAAAGCGUCUGCCAAGGAUGUUUUCAUUGA